UGGGGAAUAUUGCGCAAUGGGGGAAACCCUGACGCAGCAACGCCGCGUGAGCGAUGAAGGCCUUCGGGUUGUAAAGCUCUGUCAGGAGGGACGAAAAGGAUCGGUUGAAUAGGCCGAUUUCUUGACGGUACCUCCAAAGGAAGCCCCGGCUAACUCCGUGCCAGCAGCCGCGGUAAUACGGAGGGGGCGAGCGUUGUUCGGAAUUAUUGGGCGUAAAGAGCACGUAGGCGGCGCGGUAAGUCCUUUGUGAAAGCCCUCGGCUCAACCGAGGAAGUGCAGAGGAAACUGCCGUGCUUGAGUACGGGAGAGGAGAGUGGAAUUCCCGGUGUAGCGGUGAAAUGCGUAGAUAUCGGGAAGAACACCAGUGGCGAAAGCGGCUCUCUGGACCGUAACUGACGCUGAGGUGCGAAAGCUGGGGGAGCGAACGGGAUUAGAUACCCCCGUAGUCC
This 449-nucleotide ribosomal RNA is filed under the name uncultured prokaryote. Its description in RNAcentral is "bacterial SSU rRNA". It matches the Rfam family "Bacterial small subunit ribosomal RNA", at positions 355 to 796 of the family's 1533-position model. The record is from RNAcentral.